GGCAAACUACAUAGGCGAUUGUAAUCGCGCAGGUGUCUCAGAUUAUAUGAUAAAUUAUAAAUUGUUAUCAUCAAUUUGUCUGCGCUUCGAUUCCGAGCAAACGUGUCGUGAAUUCAUUGCGCUUGAUUGACUAUCGUUGUCUCUGUCUGUCCCGAAAUCGACUCACACAUGCGCAAAGUUCGUUCACACGUUAAAAAUUUAAACAAAGAAUUUGAUUUUCGAAAAGCGUGGAACGUGUUGAUUCUAUUCGAAGUCGGAAGUGAGGAUCGGGCUCAGUAACGCAAGUGAGUUAUCAACAUUUCUCACGGUUAGUUGCCAUCGGUGUGUGUCGAGUCCAUCUUUGUUUCCGCGCUGGUGUGUGCGCGUACGCACGCUAUCUGCGCGCGGCUGUGUGCGUGAGCUGAGAGCAAUGAGACGCAAGCGCUUCCUAGCGCGAGCUGCACCCACAGCCCAGAGACAAAUCAUUCAGAGAUUUGCAUGAAAACGCAAGGAAUAGUUUAUUAUAAUCGUAAUGUUUAUUAACAAGGUGCAAUAAACUUAGCUACGAGAAAUUCAUGAUGCUUCCUUUAACCUGAUUCUAUGUAUUUCUAAUAAUAUUUAAAUUAACUUGAAAUUUUAUAUUUGAUUGUGCAAUAAACUAUACUAGAGUU
Molecule: long non-coding RNA, 650 nt
Organism: Trichoplusia ni (cabbage looper)
Lineage: Eukaryota; Metazoa; Arthropoda; Insecta; Lepidoptera; Noctuidae
Exons: 2
Source: RefSeq, a predicted model, not a curated record